Molecule: unclassified non-coding RNA, 242 nt
Filed under: fungal sp.
Lineage: Eukaryota; Fungi
Description: partial internal transcribed spacer region
Rfam family: Eukaryotic small subunit ribosomal RNA (bases 1-46)
Source: RNAcentral
AAGUCGUAACAAGGUUUCCGUAGGUGAACCUGCGGAAGGAUCAUUACUGAGGAACUCGCACCGUUGCUGCUGGCCUUCGGGCAUGUGCACGCGGUUGCACUCUUCUUAUUCCACACCUGUGAACCGUUAUAACGAGUCGGAGUUCGCUUCGACUCGCUUUACUAUACACUCCUUCGAACAACUCAGAACGUCUUUUGCAUUAUUAAAUGUAACAACUUUCAACAACGGAUCUCUUGGCUCUC